RNAcentral lists this unclassified non-coding RNA (329 nucleotides) under Suillus sp. Its description in RNAcentral is "partial contains 5.8S ribosomal RNA, internal transcribed spacer 2, and large subunit ribosomal RNA". RNAcentral also lists the same sequence under 1 other name. The record is from RNAcentral. Lineage: Eukaryota; Fungi; Basidiomycota; Agaricomycetes; Boletales; Suillaceae.
AACGCACCUUGCGCUUAUCGGUGUUCCGAUGAGCAUGCCUGUUUGAGCGUCAUUAAAUUCUCAACCCCUCUCGAUUUGCUUCGAGAGGGAGCUUGGAUCGUGGAGGCUGCCGGAGACCUGUUUUUCAGGACUCGGGCUCCUCUGAAAUGUAUUGGCUUGCGGUCGACUUUCGACUGUGCAUGACAAGGCCUUUGGCGUGAUAAUGAUCGCCGCUCGCCGAAGUGCACGAACGAAUGGUCUCGUGCCUCUAAUCAGUCGACGCCUUUUCGAAGGCGUCUUCCUUAUUGACGUUUGACCUCAAAUCAGGUAGGACUACCCGCUGAACUUAA